GGUUGAUCCUGCCAGUAGUCAUAUGCUUGUCUCAAAGACUAAGCCAUGCAUGUCUAAGUAUAAACACCUUUAUACUGCGAAACUGCGAACGGCUCAUUAUAUCAGUUAUAAUCUACUUGAUCGUAUCCUCUUACUUGGAUAACCGUAGUAAUUCUAGAGCUAAUACAUGCAAAAGUUCCCGACUGGUGACGGAAGGGAAGUAUUUAUUAGGUCCAAAAUCAAUGCUGGCCAUUCCAAACUGGGGCAACCUGGGGUCAGGAAAGUUGAUGAUUCAUAAUAACUAAACGAAGCG
This 292-nucleotide ribosomal RNA is filed under the name uncultured eukaryote. Its description in RNAcentral is "partial 18S ribosomal RNA". It matches the Rfam family "Eukaryotic small subunit ribosomal RNA", at positions 6 to 271 of the family's 1831-position model. The record is from RNAcentral.